Molecule: ribosomal RNA, 406 nt
Filed under: uncultured bacterium
Lineage: Bacteria
Description: partial 16S ribosomal RNA
Rfam family: Bacterial small subunit ribosomal RNA
Source: RNAcentral
AGUGAACGCUGGCGGCAGGCCUAACACAUGCAAGUCGAACGAGUGGCGGACGGGUGAGUAAUGUCUGGGAAACUGCCCGAUGGAGGGGGAUAACUACUGGAAACGGUAGCUAAUACAGCAUACCAUCGGAUGUGCCCAGAUGGGAUUAGAUAGUAGGUGGGGGAACGGCUCACCCAGGCGACGAUCCCUAGCUGGUCUGAGAGGAUGACCAGCCACACUGGAACUGAGACACGGCCCAAACUCCUACGUGAGGCAGCAGUGGGGAAUAUUGCACAAUGGGGGAAACCCUGAUGCAGCAACGCCGCGUGCGGGAUGACUGCCGUCGUGUUGUACACCGCCUUCUGCCAUGACGCGGUAGUGGCAGAAGAAGCACCGGCUAACUACGUGCCAGCAGCCGCGGUAAUUC